AAGACUAUAGACCUGCGGAGUACCUGCGGAAGGAUCAUUAUCGUAUUGUAACAAUUGGGGGGGCCACCGUGGGCUGUCGCUGACCCUUUGAAAGGGGGGUCGUGCACGCCCCCAUAGUGUCAUCCUCAUACAAUCCAACUCACCUCUGUGCAUCACCGCGUGGGUUCCUUUCUGGGUCGAGUCAGACUGGCUCAGAAAAAAGGGGCUUGCGUUUUCCAUACAGAUACCCUUAUAAAUCCA
This 240-nucleotide unclassified non-coding RNA is filed under the name soil metagenome. Its description in RNAcentral is "partial contains 5.8S ribosomal RNA, internal transcribed spacer 2, and large subunit ribosomal RNA". The record is from RNAcentral.